GGAUGAGGGAGAUCUGGCUGUGACCUGUCAUCUGUUGAUCUCUAGGGUUGAUUUGGCUGAUCUGGUUGAUGACCCCCUGACCCACUACUCCAUAUGUGACCAUCUGAAGUGUCACACUCACAAAGGAUGACCUUCCUGACAUGGAGGGACUGAUCUUGGGCCAAAGGUAAUGAGUAGCUGAGUAACCUUGCUGAGACAUCUCUCAAGGUCCAUUUCUGAGCUGGAGAGAUGGUUUAGCAGUUAAGGCACUUGCCUGCAAAAGCCAAAGGCCCUUGGUU
RNAcentral lists this small nuclear RNA (278 nucleotides) under Jaculus jaculus (lesser Egyptian jerboa). Its description in RNAcentral is "7SK RNA (ENSJJAG00000009594.1)". It matches the Rfam family "7SK RNA". From Rfam's summary of the family: 7SK was discovered as an abundant small nuclear RNA in the mid-70s but a possible function has only recently been suggested. The record is from Rfam by way of RNAcentral. Lineage: Eukaryota; Metazoa; Chordata; Mammalia; Rodentia; Dipodidae.